Molecule: ribosomal RNA, 236 nt
Filed under: uncultured bacterium
Lineage: Bacteria
Description: partial 16S ribosomal RNA
Rfam family: Bacterial small subunit ribosomal RNA
Source: RNAcentral
UGAGGAACCUAUCCCAGACUCUGGAAUAACAAGUGGAAACACUUGCUAAUACCGGAUGUCGUUGAAUCACUGCCUGGUGACUCAACGAAAGAUUUAUCGGUGUGGGAGGGCCUCGUGGCCUAUCAGCUUGUUGGCGAGGUAACGGCUCACCAAGGCUUCGACGGGUAGCCGGCCUGAGAGGGUGACCGGCCACACUGGGACUGAGACACGGCCCAGACUCCUACGGGAGGCAGCAG